Long non-coding RNA from Nerophis ophidion (straightnose pipefish), 1085 nucleotides. RefSeq lists it as uncharacterized. Lineage: Eukaryota; Metazoa; Chordata; Actinopteri; Syngnathiformes; Syngnathidae. The record is from RefSeq and is a predicted model, not a curated record. The transcript is spliced from 3 exons.
UCGAUGGGACAGUUCCGGUUGGCGCGACAUGAGUAGGUUAAGUUCCUGCGCACGCUCCGCUUGAAGAAACUUUUGCAGCCCUCGCAGGUGAACUGGCCGUAAUGUUUGCCGCUCGACUUGUCCCCGCACACCACGCACUCGAUGUGCUGCUGCUGGCUCUGCCCCGAGUUCUGGCUGCCCUUGUCCCCGCCGGCCGUACCCGGCGUGGACGGAGGUCCCGGCUGGCUGGGGGUCUGUGGGGUGUGCGGCGCCGCCGACGCCGCCUGCUGCUGCUCCCUCGCCGGCUGCGCGGCUGGGUUGGGGCCGCUCGGAGGUCCUCCAGCCACGUCUUCCUGCGGAUCUCGCCAGACGCUGACUACCAUUGCCAUAUCUCGGCCACGGAAAGUGCUGUAGAGCGAAAUGUUCGCUGCUGGGUCUGGAGCGUGGAUGGGAAGAAAAAUGGCAGGCUGAGAGACGGGGGAAAAAAAUGGAUCGCGCUGCCAUCUAGCGUACGUUGUACAAUUACAACCUCCAGCAGAGAGUGCACACACGUCAAUAAAGAUGGAUUUUUAAAAAUUUUUUAUUAUUGCAUAAAGUUUGUUCCUAGAUAUCCUGACAUAUGCAUGACAGGGAAUGCGCAUUUUUUUUAUCAGCUUGUCAAUUUCUUUAUAAAAGUAAGACUAUAUUAGUUUAUAGGAACAUGCCAAUCGUGUGUGUGCAUAUAAAAUGACAUUAAAUACAUAUAUGCACUUUGCAAAAGAGAAAUAGCAUAAUACUUCAUAUUUGCGGAUAAUGAAGCUUAAAUAUGCAAGUGACCCCUUCGGAAGCUCAUAAAGGAGGGAUGGGUUGUUUUUCCCCCUUUCUUUCUUUAAAGUAUUCCAACAAGAGAGCUCUCUCUCCUUGCCUCGGACAACUCCAAUGACAACUCUGCGUGCAUGUCUGCAGCUCUUUGAAAAGGAGGAGAGAACACAUAGAGAGGGGCAGCGAAUGGGGAGCGGAGUGGGGAAAAUAAAAAGGGAGAAAGUGGACCACAGUGGGGCAUUGAGGGGAGAAGCAGCGGCGAUGGCGGUCUGCGUGGAGCUUCCCAGCACGAGAAAACAAACAUG